UAAGGAAUAUUGCGCAAUGGGCGCAAGCCUGAUCCAGCCAUGCCGCGUGAGUGAUGAAGGCCUUAGGGUUGUAAUGCUCUUUUGGCGGGGACGAUAAUGACGGUACCCGCAGAAUAAGCCCCGGCUAACUUCGUGCCAGCAGCCGCGGUAAUACGAAGGGGGCUAGCGUUGUUCGGAAUUACUGGGCGUAAAGCGCACGUAGGCGGAUCGGCAAGUCAGUGGUGAAAUCUCUCGGCUUAACCGAGAAACUGCCAUUGAUACUGUUAGUCUAGAGUACAGAUGAUGUGGGCGGAAUAUGACAUGUAGUGGUGAAAUACUUAGAUAUGUCAUAGAACACCGAUUGCGAAGGCAGCUCACAAAACUGUAACUGACGCUGAGGCACGAAAGUGCGGGGAUCAAACAGGAUUAGAUACCCCAGUAGUCCCUGAGCGGGCUGGCAAGGCGCAU
Molecule: ribosomal RNA, 447 nt
Filed under: uncultured bacterium
Lineage: Bacteria
Description: bacterial SSU rRNA
Rfam family: Bacterial small subunit ribosomal RNA
Source: RNAcentral